This 214-nucleotide non-coding RNA is filed under the name Lactiplantibacillus plantarum. Lineage: Bacteria; Bacillati; Bacillota; Bacilli; Lactobacillales; Lactobacillaceae. The record is from RNAcentral.
AACUGUACGAUAACGUUACAUCAAGUAGACAUAGUGGUAGGUGUCAGGAAGCCGGUGGUUGCUGCGAACCGGUCAGCUACUAUGAUUGAAAUACGGUAACCGAGUUUCGACUGAACGGAUAAUAACUAGAACCGUUAUCUUCUAGUGAGUGGUGGAUUAAGUGUCAAUAAUCCGCAACCUGGGUGGUACCGCGACUAGUCUAAUCGUCCCUGUU